GUGGUUUCGGUGGUGAUUAUGGUGGUGGAAACGGAGGGGGUUACGGUUUAGGAGGUGGUGUCGGAGGUGGUUUUGGCGGUGGUUCUGGCGGUGGUAUCGGUGGAGGUUUUGGACGUACUCAACAAUGCAAUUGUGCAAAGAAAUGUACCAAAGGGCAAAAGUACGUUGGUCGAUGUCCCUGGUGCCAGAAGGGAUGCCAACUAGUGUUUUGUUGCAACCGAGGAAAAUUCUAGAUCCAUGACGAAAGGAUCGACACGUCGGCUACACGCAAUACAAAAAGGAACCCUACAUUGACUUUGAGACUGAAGUAAAUGAUCUGAUUUUAUUUCACAAUAUUGUAUAUACCUGUAUUUGCAUAAUUAUAUUCUAAGCAUCUAU
Molecule: long non-coding RNA, 378 nt
Organism: Dreissena polymorpha
Lineage: Eukaryota; Metazoa; Mollusca; Bivalvia; Myida; Dreissenidae
Exons: 2
Source: RefSeq, a predicted model, not a curated record